AUUGAACGCUGGCGGCAGGCUUAACACAUGCAAGUCGAGCGAGAGGCGGGCGGGUGAGUUAUGUCUGGGAAACUGCCUGAGGGAGGGGGAUCACUACUGGAAACGGUAGCUAAUACCGCAUACCAUCAGAUGUGCCCAGAUGGGAUUAGCUAGUGGGUGGGGUAAAGGCCCACCUAGGCGACGAUCCCUACCUGGUCUGAGAGGAUGACCAGCCACACUGGAACUGAGACACGGUCCAGACUCCUACGGGAGGCAGCAGUGGGGAAUAUUGGACAAUGGGCGAAAGCCUGAUGCAGCCAUGCCGCGUGUGUGAAGAAGGCCUUCGGGUUGUAAAGCACUUUAAGCGAGGAGGCGUUACCCGCAGAAGAAGCACCGGCUAACUCCGUGCCAGCAGCCGCGGUAAUUC
This 406-nucleotide ribosomal RNA is filed under the name uncultured bacterium. RNAcentral's name for it is "partial 16S ribosomal RNA". It matches the Rfam family "Bacterial small subunit ribosomal RNA", at positions 30 to 526 of the family's 1533-position model. The record is from RNAcentral.